Molecule: ribosomal RNA, 518 nt
Filed under: uncultured bacterium
Lineage: Bacteria
Description: bacterial SSU rRNA
Rfam family: Bacterial small subunit ribosomal RNA
Source: RNAcentral
AGAGUUGAUCAUGGCUCAGAACGAACGCUGGCGGCGCGUUUAAGCAUGCAAGUCGAGCGGCAAGGGCCUUCGGGCCCUAGAGCGGCGGACGGGUGAGUAACACGUGGACAAUCUGCCCCCCGGCCCGGGAUAGCCCAGGGAAACCUGGAUUAAUACCGGAUGAGACGGGACCCGCGAUGGCGGGAUCCGGGAAAGGCGCUGCGGCGCCGCCGGGGGAUGAGUCUGCGUCCCAUUAGCUAGACGGCGGGGUAACGGCCCACCGUGGCGACGAUGGGUAGCCGGCCUGAGAGGGUGGACGGCCACAUUGGAACUGAGACACGGUCCAGACUCCUACGGGAGGCAGCAGCUAAGAAUCUUCCGCAAUGGGCGAAAGCCUGACGGAGCCGACGCCGCGUGAACGAAGAAGGCCGUGAGGUUGUAAAGUUCUUUUCGGGAGGGGGAACAACCGUGGCAGGGAAUGGCCGCGGGAUGACGUGAAUCCCGGAAUAAGCCCCGGCUAACUACGUGCCAGCCGCCGC